Molecule: ribosomal RNA, 254 nt
Filed under: uncultured bacterium
Lineage: Bacteria
Description: partial 16S ribosomal RNA
Rfam family: Bacterial small subunit ribosomal RNA
Source: RNAcentral
GACGUAGGGCGCAAGCGUUGUCCGGAAUUAUUGGGCGUAAAGAGCUCGUAGGCGGCUUGUCGCGUCGACUGUGAAAACCCGUGGCUCAACCAUGUGGUCUGCAGUCGAUACGGGCAGGCUAGAAUUCGGUAGGGGAGACUGGAAUUCCUGGUGUAGCGGUGAAAUGCGCAGAUAUCAGGAGGAACACCGGUGGCGAAGGCAGCUCUCUGGGACGGUACUGACGCUGAGACGCGAAAGCGUGGGGAGCGAACAGG